Molecule: transfer RNA, 61 nt
Filed under: Sabella spallanzanii
Lineage: Eukaryota; Metazoa; Annelida; Polychaeta; Sabellida; Sabellidae
Description: tRNA-Thr
Rfam family: tRNA
About the family: Transfer RNA (tRNA) molecules are approximately 80 nucleotides in length. Their secondary structure includes four short double-helical elements and three loops (D, anti-codon, and T loops).
Source: RNAcentral
AGAUUAAUAGUUUAAAUAAAACUUUGGUCUUGUAAACCAAAAAUAGUCUCGCUUUAAUCUA